CAGUAGCCACGGUAAUACGUAGGGUGCGAGCGUUAAUCGGAAUUACUGGGCGUAAAGGGCUCGCAGGCGGUUUCUUAAGUCUGAUGUGAAAGCCCCCGGCUCAACCGGGGAGGGUCAUUGGAAACUGGGAAACUUGAGUGCAGAAGAGGAGAGUGGAAUUCCACGUGUAGCGGCGAAAUGCGUAGAGAUGUGGAGGAACACCAGUGGCGAAGGCGGCUUACUGGCUCGAAACUGACGCUGAGGCGCGAAAGCGUGGGGAGCAAACAGGAUUAGAUACCCCUGUAGUCCCUGUCUCUUAUAC
Molecule: ribosomal RNA, 301 nt
Filed under: uncultured bacterium
Lineage: Bacteria
Description: partial 16S ribosomal RNA
Rfam family: Bacterial small subunit ribosomal RNA
Source: RNAcentral